UAUGUGAUCGUCUCUCGCAUAUCAAUAAGCGGAGGAAAAGAAACUAACAAGGAUUCCCCUAGUAACGGCGAGUGAAGCGGGAAGAGCUCAAAUUUGAAAUCUUAAAGGGUUUCCCUUUACGAAUUAGUAGUUUAAAGAAGUGUUUUCUGUUGAGGUUUUGGUAAAAGUUCUUUGGAAUAGGACAUCAUAGAGGGUGAGAAUCCCGUAUUCGACCUUUACUUUCAACUUUGUGAUACACUUUCAAAGAGUCGGAUUGUUUGGGAAUGCAGUCCAAAAUGGGUGGUAAAUUUCAUCUAAAGCUAAAUAUUGGCGAGAGACCGAUAGCGAACAAGUACCGUGAGGGAAAGAUGAAAAGAACUUUGAAAAGAGAGUUAAACAGUACGUGAAAUUGUCAAAAGGGAAGCGUUUGACACCAGUGUUGUUUUUCUGAAAAUCAAUUAAAGAACUGUUUAUGCUAAGCUGUUUAGACUUUAUCAGCUAACUGUUUAGUUUUGAGCUUUUCUUUAAUGCACUUUUCAGUUAACAAGUCAACAUCAAUUUCUUUUGCUGUAAAAAAGCUUGAGGAAGGUGGCUUGAGAUUCGUCUUAAGUGUUUAUAGCCUCUUGCCUAUGCAGUCGGAGAGAUUGAGGUCUGCAGCGUAGAUCCUUCGGGGCUAAAUGCAUUUGUGCUAAGUUAUAGCAUUUUAUAGACAACUUGUUGACUAUGAUUUGUCUUGUAGCUUACUCGCUUAUGUUAUUUUACCUACGCUUAGGAUGUUGAAGACUCUACAGAGAUA
This 775-nucleotide ribosomal RNA is filed under the name uncultured Neocallimastigales. RNAcentral's name for it is "partial large subunit ribosomal RNA". It matches the Rfam family "Eukaryotic large subunit ribosomal RNA", at positions 24 to 633 of the family's 3401-position model. The record is from RNAcentral. Lineage: Eukaryota; Fungi; Neocallimastigomycota; Neocallimastigomycetes; Neocallimastigales.